Molecule: ribosomal RNA, 600 nt
Filed under: uncultured bacterium
Lineage: Bacteria
Description: bacterial SSU rRNA
Rfam family: Bacterial small subunit ribosomal RNA
Source: RNAcentral
UGGCUAGAGCGGCGCACGGGUGAGUAACGCGUACAUGACCUGCCCUUUACUGGGGAUAGCUCGGGAAACUGAGAUUAAUACCCCAUGGUAUUAUUAUGCUGCAUGGUAUGAUAAUUAAAGCUGAGCGGUAAAGGAUGGGUGUGCGUCUGAUUAGCUAGUUGGAAAGGUAACGGUUACCAAGGCGAUGAUCAUAGGGGCGUGAACGUGACCCCCACACGGGUUACUGAGACACGGACCCGACUCCUACGGGAGGCAGCAGUAAGGAAUAUUGGUCAAUGGAGGAAACUCUGAACCAGCCAUCCCGCGUGAAGGAUGAAGGGGCUCUGCCUUGUAAACUUCUUUUGAAUGGGACGAAAAAAGGGGAUUUAUCCUCGACUGACGGUACCAUUAGAAUAAGCACCGGCUAACUCCGUGCCAGCAGCCGCGGUAAUACGGAGGGUGCAAAGCGUUAUCCGGAAUCACUGGGUUUAAAGGGUGCGUAGGCGGCUAAAUAAGUCAGUGGUGAAAGGCCGUGGCUUAACCAUGGGAUUGCCAUUGAUACUGUAUAGCUUGAAUGAGGAUGAGGUUGGGCGGAAUGUGGCAUGUAGCGGGUGAAAUGCU